AGCGGAGUGGAGCAGUUGAUAGCUCAUUAGGUUCAUAACCCAGAAGGCGCAGGUUCAAGUCCUGCCUCCGCAA
Molecule: transfer RNA, 73 nt
Filed under: Caudoviricetes sp.
Lineage: Duplodnaviria; Heunggongvirae; Uroviricota; Caudoviricetes
Description: tRNA-Met
Rfam family: tRNA
About the family: Transfer RNA (tRNA) molecules are approximately 80 nucleotides in length.
Source: RNAcentral